This 253-nucleotide ribosomal RNA is filed under the name uncultured bacterium. Its description in RNAcentral is "partial 16S ribosomal RNA". It matches the Rfam family "Bacterial small subunit ribosomal RNA", at positions 524 to 776 of the family's 1533-position model. The record is from RNAcentral.
UACGUAGGGUGCAGGCGUUAAUCGGAAUUACUGGGCGUAAAGCGUGCGCAGGCGGUCUUUUAAGUCAGAUGUGAAAUCCCCAGGCUUAACCUGGGAACUGCGUUUGAAACUGAAAGGCUAGAGUGUGGCAGAGGGGGGUGGAAUUCCACGUGUAGCAGUGAAAUGCGUAGAGAUGUGGAGGAACACCGAUGGCGAAGGCAGCCCCCUGGGCUAACACUGACGCUCAUGCACGAAAGCGUGGGGAGCAAACAGG